RNAcentral lists this ribosomal RNA (492 nucleotides) under uncultured bacterium. RNAcentral's name for it is "partial 16S ribosomal RNA". It matches the Rfam family "Bacterial small subunit ribosomal RNA", at positions 29 to 507 of the family's 1533-position model. The record is from RNAcentral.
AGUGAACGCUGGCGGUAGGCCUAACACAUGCAAGUCGAACGGCAGCACAGUAAGAGCUUGCUCUUACGGGUGGCGAGUGGCGGACGGGUGAGGAAUGCAUCGGAAUCUACUUUUUCGUGGGGGAUAACGUAGGGAGACUUACGCUAAUACCGCAUACGACCUACGGGUGAAAGCAGGGGAUCUUCGGACCUUUCGCGAUUGAAUGAGCCGAUGUCGGAUUAGCUAGUUGGCGGGGUAAAGGCCCACCAAGGCGACGAUCCGUAGCUGGUCUGAGAGGAUGAUCAGCCACACUGGAACUGAGACACGGUCCAGACUCCUACGGGAGGCAGCAGUGGGGAAUAUUGGACAAUGGGCGCAAGCCUGAUCCAGCCAUACCGCGUGGGUGAAGAAGGCCUUCGGGUUGUAAAGCCCUUUUGUUGGGAAAGAAAAGCAGCAGGUUAAUACCCCGCUGUUCUGACGGUACCCAAAGAAUAGGCACCGGCUAACUUCGUG